CCGAGUUGUAAUUUGCAGAGGAUGCUUUUGGUGCGGUGCCUUCCGAGUUCCCUGGAACGGGACGCCAGAGAGGGUGAGAGCCCCGUACGGUUGGCCGCCUACCCUAUAUAUAGCUCCUUCGACGAGUCGAGUAGUUUGGGAAUGCUGCUCUAAAUGGGAGGUAAAUUUCUUCUAAAGCUAAAUACCGGCCAGAGACCGAUAGCGCACAAGUAGAGUGAUCGAAAGAUGAAAAGCACUUUGAAAAGAGGGUUAAAUAGCACGUGAAAUUGUUGAAAGGGAAGCGUUUGCGACCAGACUUUUUCCAGGCGGAUCAUCCGGUGUUCUCACCGGUGCACUUCGCCUGGUUUAGGCCAGCAUCGGUUUCUCUAGGGGGAUAAAGGCCUGGGGAACGUAGCUCUUUAGGGAGUGUUAUAGCCCCUUGCGUAAUACCCCUCGGGGGACCGAGGACCGCGCUCUGCAAGGAUGCUGGCGUAAUGGUCGUCAACGACCCGUCUUGAAACACGGACCAAGGAGUCGAACAUUUGUGCGAGUGUUUGGGUGUUAAACCCUCACGCGUAAUGAAAGUGAACGGAGGUGAGAGCCCUUUUAGGGUGCAUCAUCGACCGAUCCUGAUGUCUUCGGAUGGAUUUGAGUAAGAGCAUAACUGUUCGGANCCGAAAGAUGGUGAACUAUGCGUGGAUAGGGUGAAGCCAGAGGAAACUCUGGUGGAGGCUCGCAGCGG
Molecule: ribosomal RNA, 721 nt
Filed under: Annulohypoxylon annulatum
Lineage: Eukaryota; Fungi; Ascomycota; Sordariomycetes; Xylariales; Hypoxylaceae
Description: partial large subunit ribosomal RNA
Rfam family: Eukaryotic large subunit ribosomal RNA
Source: RNAcentral